GACAUACCAAUACUACAACUAACUGUUUUAAUGCAUUGAAUAUCAAAGAUACCAAAACAAAUCAUGCUAUAUAUUCUGCUAUGCCAAAGCCAAGCAAUAAAUAUCCCUAGAAAGUGCAGCAUAGCUCACAUACCUUCUAUUUCUCCUGGCUAUCAAUAUUCAUCGCGUUAUUAUUGGAGGUUUCACUAUAGAUGCUUGAAAUAUCAUGACCAAAGUUAGUGUAGUAAUUAUAUUUAUUGUCACUGUAGUAAUGUACCGAUGAAGAUGAUGAUGUUGUAGGACUAAGA
Molecule: long non-coding RNA, 287 nt
Filed under: Capsicum annuum
Lineage: Eukaryota; Viridiplantae; Streptophyta; Magnoliopsida; Solanales; Solanaceae
Description: long non-coding RNA (CANN_LNC019400)
Source: RNAcentral